Sturnus vulgaris (Common starling) is the source of this 102-nucleotide non-coding RNA. The record is from RefSeq and is a predicted model, not a curated record. Lineage: Eukaryota; Metazoa; Chordata; Aves; Passeriformes; Sturnidae.
AGAAGCAGAACAGAAUCAGCAGAACAAAAGCAGCCCUCUGCUUGCCACCUUCCCAGCACAUUUCUGGGUUGGGUUCCUUGUUUGUUACCUGGUGGUUGUACG